Long non-coding RNA from Passer domesticus (house sparrow), 1669 nucleotides. RefSeq lists it as uncharacterized. The record is from RefSeq and is a predicted model, not a curated record. The transcript is spliced from 6 exons. Lineage: Eukaryota; Metazoa; Chordata; Aves; Passeriformes; Passeridae.
UCUGCCAUUCACAGAUGUCAAGUGAAUACAAUAGCUCUUUGAGAUGACGGAGCCAUGUGGGGCAGCAGCUCCAGUGACCCGAGCACCAUGGUGUACAAUUCUGCAAAGAUUCCAUAGCAACUGCAGAAAAAAAUGGUGGUGCUGGAGCUGUCAGUCAUUCAUCACUGUAUUUUAUGGAGCCAAGACCUUUGUAAGAGAACAUUUUAUCUGUUUCUGUAUUCAUUUGAGGCCCUCUGAAGAGAAAGUCAUCAUUCCCUUCAUUCUUCAUUGCUGCCUUAGGACAUGGACACCAAGCAAUUUCAAGAGUUGGGGGUGAUAAAUAUGGCCCUGAAUACUUCAGUUCUUGGUGAAAAAGCUUUAGCCUCACUAAAAUUAAAAGAGGUGAUCCUCACUUUGGAUCAACCCAGAUGGAAACAACUGUGCUAAUUUUACAUGGCCUUCCCACAGCUGGCAGAAUCCACAAAGUCCCCAGCAACCUGUCCUCUGAGGCUGGGGAUCUGUCUGAGCAAACAGGGCAGAGUUAUGUCCUUUCUGACAGCAUACAUCCUUUUAAUGAAUACAUCCAGAAAGAUGAGGAUGAAUAAUAAUUCUGGUUAUUCUGCUUUUGUCUGCUCCUCAGUUCAUCAGAGAAAAAGAUCUAUCACAAAAAUAUUUCAUUAUGUAAUAAAUUCUACUUGACCACUUUUUUCUCUUCAUGUCACAUACAGAACAGUACCAAAUAGUAAAAAGAAGUUAUGGAUUCCAGUAAUACAGGUGUAUGAGGAAAUAUCAAAAGAAUUCUCUCACAAUUUGCUUGAGAAAAGAGGAAUCUGGAAAUGUUUGGGAGACAAACAUUCUGCCUAAAUGCCAGCCACCAAACAGAAAUGAACCCUUAGAAAGUUGAAAUGGGGAAAAAAUUAAGCCUAUCAGAGAGCAGAGCUGAAGGUGGAAAACUCUUUCAAGGUAUUUUUAGUACAAACCAGAAUUUGUAAGAAAUAUGCUGGAGCAACUCAGGAAGAAAAAGACCUGUUGAAGCAGGAAAGGCAUGUGGAGCAGUCCCCAGUCUUGUCUUGUAGCUCCUCAUAUCCUCCUGUCCAUCCAGAUACCUAAUGGACAGCUUCUAGCCCGGCCACCAGACACACCUGGCACAUGAUAGAGCUUGCUCCUGCUGCACCUGGGACUCAUCUUGAGGUAAAGAAAGUGGGAGAGGCUGGCAAUCAAGAAAGCUUCCAGUUAUGUUUUUAGGAAAAAUAUAACUUAUGCAUUCUGGGUUCACAAAUCCUUUACUUGUGGGAUUUGUGCUCCUAAAUCUUGAAGGUGCUUCUGGAAAUAUUUAUUUUGAAAUAUGAAUGUAUUCAUUCUGGAAAACUCACCAAAAUGUUAACAAAUCCUAAGUCAGUAGUCUCACACCAAAGUCGACCUUCUCUAUUAUUGUUAGGAAGGAAAGUUGUUGGCAUCAGUUGAAUUGAAGGGGAUUUCCUUUUGUUUUGCAAUGUAUGCGCAGACAAGCAGGCACCAAGCUACAAGUGAGUAACUUUCCCACUAAUCCUCCAAGGCGUGUGACAAUAUGACCCUGAGAUUUUACAACUAAGAACAUUAUGGUAUGUAAAUAUUAUGAACAUAUAUGGUAAGUGCUGUACUUACUGAAAAACUCUGAAAAUGAUUCCUGGGAAUGCCUAGCUGACCCUAA